GGUUGCGAUCAUACCAGCACUAAUGCAACGGAUCCCAUCAGAACUCCGCAGUUAAGCGUGCUUGGGCGAGAGUAGUACUAGGAUGGGUGACCCCCUGGGAAGUCCUCGUGUUGCAACCCC
This 120-nucleotide ribosomal RNA is filed under the name Helianthus annuus (common sunflower). RNAcentral also lists the same sequence under 1 other name. The record is from RNAcentral. Lineage: Eukaryota; Viridiplantae; Streptophyta; Magnoliopsida; Asterales; Asteraceae.